UUAGAGGAAGUAAAAGUCGUAACAAGGUCUCCGUAGGUGAACCUGCGGAGGGAUCAUUACAGAGUUCAUGCCCUUACGGGUAGAUCUCCCACCCUAUGUUAUUAUUACCUUUGUUGCUUUGGCGGGCCGUCAGGCCUCGGUCAGGCUAUCGGCUCCGGCUGGUAAGCGCCCGCCAGAGGACCCAAAAACUCUGAAUGUUAAUGUCGUCUGAGUACUAUAUAAUAGUUAAAACUUUCAACAACGGAUCUCUUGGUUCUGGCAUCGAUGAAGAACGCAGCGAAAUGCGAUAAGUAAUGUGAAUUGCAGAAUUCAGUGAAUCAUCGAAUCUUUGAACGCACAUUGCGCCCCUUGGUAUUCCGAGGGGCAUGCCUGUUCGAGCGUCAUUACAACCCUCAAGCAUUGCUUGGUAUUGGGCUCCGCUGCUCACCUAGCGGGCCUUAAAAUCAGUGGCGGUGCCGUCGAGGCCCUGAGCGUAGUAAAUAUCCUCGCUAUAGGGACUCGGUGGACGCUGGCCAUUAACCCCCAACUUUCUAAGUUUGACCUCGGAUCAGGUAGGGAUACCCGCUGAACUUAAGCAUAUCAAUA
Molecule: ribosomal RNA, 585 nt
Filed under: uncultured fungus
Lineage: Eukaryota; Fungi
Description: eukaryotic LSU rRNA
Rfam family: 5.8S ribosomal RNA (bases 230-383)
Source: RNAcentral